This 315-nucleotide small RNA is filed under the name Histoplasma capsulatum var. duboisii H88. RNAcentral's name for it is "Histoplasma capsulatum H88 hypothetical RNA". The record is from RNAcentral. Lineage: Eukaryota; Fungi; Ascomycota; Eurotiomycetes; Onygenales; Ajellomycetaceae.
UUGCAGGGAGGAUCAAAUCUGUGAAGGAUCCAUCAUUGAGUCAGGUAUCAGAAUGCUGUGUUGUAUCCAGUCUUCCACCACAGCUUUUAGUGCUGAGGCUGCAUGGCUCUGUGAUGACUCAUUCAGGGAUGGUGAUUUAUUAUCAGAUUCACCAAGAUUGAUCCACUCAUGGUUGCUUAUUCCUUGUUUCCAUGGGGGAUAGCCAUCACUUCAAAGCCAGCCAAAGAUACGUUGUGUAGCAUUUUCUGAUGCUGAUUCUUUCUCAAGAUUCAGAGAUUUAUAUUUGAUGAGUGUAUUUAUUGCUAGGUGUUGGGU